Molecule: long non-coding RNA, 906 nt
Filed under: Papio anubis (olive baboon)
Lineage: Eukaryota; Metazoa; Chordata; Mammalia; Primates; Cercopithecidae
Description: lncRNA (ENSPANG00000037517.1)
Source: RNAcentral
GAUGGUUGACGCUUCCUCAUGAUUAAAAUCAAUAUACGCAUUCCAGGUUGGAACAGAAGAAAUGCUGUAUUCCUCUGAGGACAUCACUUCUGAAGAUGUAGUACCUGGAGCUGUGCAGCUGGUUUGUAACUAUAAGUUGAUGAACAGAGAUGUUGGGCCUGGCGCCAUGGAGCUGUUGAAGACACACCAAAAAAACAGUCUAUCUUUUGACUUCUAUUUUUUCGUGUGGAACAAAACUAUUGUUAAAAUGUUAUAGUUGAAUGUAGUUGAAUGCUUUGUUACUUGCAGCUAAAUACAUUCCUAACAAGUAAAGGAGAGAUUAUAACUAUAAUCUUAUUAUAACUGUCUAUAUUAGCUACUAACUGAAUAUAUUAUAUUUGGGAAAUAAUAAUUAUGGUAAUCUAAAUUAUUAACCCAGUUUUCUCCAAAAUAAUCUAAAUUGGUUUAAUAUGGGUAACUGAAAACAUACAAUAUGGUAAAUGAUGAAAUAAAUAAAUGUCAAAUAGGUGAGUGUGACAGAGAAUUAUUGAAAAUGUACUGUAUUUUAUUUUAGAAAUAAAAUCUGCUGUGUGUAUUCACUUUUGUGGUUAUUUCUCCCCCUUUUACCAUGGCUUCCCAUACCUAUAAAAAAUGAGUUCACACUAAUUAUCUGCAAAUGGGACUCAUCGCUACAGUGAAAUCGAGUCUCUCCUCGAUCCUAAUCCAAAUUUAACUGUAACCUAAAUGAUACCUGACAGAAAUAUGCAGAGGUCACAGAGUCCCUGCCUGUCAGAGACAUUAAUCAAACAAAUGUCAUUUGUGCAGUUCAGUAGCUUUAUAUAAGAAAAUUUAACUUAAACCUUAUAAAACAGUAAGAUUAAAUGAAAAUACAUACAAUGAAUUUAGAAUAAAAAGGCAAAACUCUAG